This 465-nucleotide ribosomal RNA is filed under the name Vreelandella stevensii. RNAcentral's name for it is "partial 16S ribosomal RNA". It matches the Rfam family "Bacterial small subunit ribosomal RNA", at positions 338 to 795 of the family's 1533-position model. Lineage: Bacteria; Pseudomonadati; Pseudomonadota; Gammaproteobacteria; Oceanospirillales; Halomonadaceae. The record is from RNAcentral.
CCUACGGGUGGCAGCAGUGGGGAAUAUUGGACAAUGGGCGAAAGCCUGAUCCAGCCAUGCCGCGUGUGUGAAGAAGGCCUUCGGGUUGUAAAGCACUUUCAGUGGGGAAGAAAGCCUUGGGGCUAAUACCCUCGAGGAAGGACAUCACCCACAGAAGAAGCACCGGCUAACUCCGUGCCAGCAGCCGCGGUAAUACGGAGGGUGCGAGCGUUAAUCGGAAUUAUUGGGCGUAAAGCGCGCGUAGGCGGUCUGAUAAGCCGGUUGUGAAAGCCCCGGGCUCAACCUGGGAACGGCAUCCGGAACUGUCAGGCUAGAGUGCAGGAGAGGAAGGUAGAAUUCCCGGUGUAGCGGUGAAAUGCGUAGAGAUCGGGAGGAAUACCAGUGGCGAAGGCGGCCUUCUGGACUGACACUGACGCUGAGGUGCGAAAGCGUGGGUAGCAAACAGGAUUAGAUACCCCGGUAGUC